RNAcentral lists this ribosomal RNA (460 nucleotides) under uncultured bacterium. RNAcentral describes it as "partial 16S ribosomal RNA". It matches the Rfam family "Bacterial small subunit ribosomal RNA", at positions 338 to 795 of the family's 1533-position model. The record is from RNAcentral.
CCUACGGGCGGCAGCAGUGAGGAAUAUUGGUCAAUGGACGAGAGUCUGAACCAGCCAAGUAGCGUGAAGGAUGACUGCCCUAUGGGUUGUAAACUUCUUUUAUAAAGGAAUAAAACGAGGCACGUGUGCCUUUUUGCAUGUACUUUAUGAAUAAGGAUCGGCUAACUCCGUGCCAGCAGCCGCGGUAAUACGGAGGAUCCGAGCGUUAUCCGGAUUUAUUGGGUUUAAAGGGUGCGUAGGCGGCCUUUUAAGUCAGCGGUGAAAGUCUGUGGCUCAACCAUAGAAUUGCCGUUGAAACUGGGAGGCUUGAGUAUGUUUGAGGCAGGCGGAAUGCGUGGUGUAGCGGUGAAAUGCUUAGAUAUCACGAAGAACCCCGAUUGCGAAGGCAGCUUACUAAACUGUGACUGACAUUGAUGCUCGAAAGUGUGGGUAUCAAACAGGAUUAGAUACCCGAGUAGUC